Molecule: ribosomal RNA, 850 nt
Filed under: Nematostrigea serpens
Lineage: Eukaryota; Metazoa; Platyhelminthes; Trematoda; Diplostomida; Strigeidae
Description: partial large subunit ribosomal RNA
Rfam family: Eukaryotic large subunit ribosomal RNA
Source: RNAcentral
UAGUAACUGCGAGUUGAGGGGGAUUAGCCCAGCACCGAAGCCUGCGGCCGUUUGGCUGCUAGGCAAUGUGGUGUUCAGGUCGUCUCUUGGCAUAACUGCUCCAUCCUAAGUCCAGCACUGAGUAUGGCAUCUGGAAUGGCCCAUGGAGGGUGAAAGGCCCGUGGGGGUGGAGAUCAAGUCGGCCAGUCUUGCCCUGAGUAGACCUUGGAGUCGGGUUGUUUGUGAAUGCAGCCCAAAGUGGGUGGUAAACUCCAUCCAAGGCUAAAUACUAGCACGAGCCGAUAGCGAACAAGUACCGUGAGGGAAAGUUGAAAAGUACUUUGAAGAGAGAGUAAACAGUGCGUGAAACCGCUCAGAGGUAAACGGGUGGAGUUGAACUGUAAGCUCCGGGGAUUCAGCUGGUGAGUGUGUCAUGGGCUUGGUCAUUUUCGGCCGGCUUCUGGAGUCCGCUUAGCUGCGGGUCCUUGCUUCUUCGGGAGCAGGGAUGUGCGUUGCGCUUGUCAAGUGCUGUGCGCUCUGGGGGUUGCCGGGCUGGCUCGCCAGUGCACUUUCUCGGAGUGGUCACCACGACCGGCGUUGUUGUCUUGCUGCUGUGGUCGAACCGGCCGGGUUUGGUCCUUGUGGCUGAGCUUGGUCGGGAUGGCAGGUAGCUCAUUGAUUGGCUUGUCCAGUCUUUGGGUGUAAUUAGCUGGCUGCAGCGGUUUUGUGCAAUACGUCGGAGACGGCGGCUUUAGGUGUGUGCUUUUGUGCCGUUGGUUGGCAGUGUCGAGUUUGACUGGCGUGUUACCUGCUUCGGUAGGUCCGUUGGUAGCUCGAUGCUGUUCGGUUGGCAGUUGCAUUUGUGAUACCG